UAGAUUCAUGGAUACGACUGUAGCCGUCGGCAUCUGUACGCCCUGCUCAACACCGCCGCCCUUGCUCCAUGCCCCCUUCUCCAACACCGCCGCCUUUCUCUCAUGUCGCCCUAUUGUGCGUCCCUCUGCUCCAGCCUGCAGUCGCGGCCAUCCUCCUCUGUUCAAACUUCAGAUGGAGAUGAACAUCUCUUUGGACGAUAAUCCCUCUGUUCUUUUGGUUGUUCACUCAUUCACUAGUUUUGUGCCCACCUUAGCCUCCUCUUCCUAGAGUUGAAAUCAGUGGGUCACUGUAAUCCAAGGUAAAUGAUAUUUCUCUGCAAUAAUUUUGUUAUGUUGUCCUCCAUUUAAUAAUAAGUGAUCUUUCUCUGCAUUUAAU
RNAcentral lists this long non-coding RNA (376 nucleotides) under Zea mays. RNAcentral describes it as "long non-coding RNA NONZMAT000791". Lineage: Eukaryota; Viridiplantae; Streptophyta; Magnoliopsida; Poales; Poaceae. The record is from RNAcentral.